UACGUAGGGGGCAAGCGUUAUCCGGAUUCACUGGGUGUAAAGGGAGCGUAGACGGCCAUGCAAGCCUGGAGUGAAAGCCCGGGGCCCAACCCCGGGACUGCUCUGGGAACUGUGCGGCUGGAGUGCGGGAGGGGCAGGCGGAACUCCUGGUGUAGCGGUGAAAUGCGUAGAUAUCAGGAGGAACACCGGCGGCGAAGGCGGCCUGCUGGACAGUAACUGACGUUGAGGCACGAAAGCGUGGGGAGCAAACAGG
Molecule: ribosomal RNA, 253 nt
Filed under: uncultured bacterium
Lineage: Bacteria
Description: partial 16S ribosomal RNA
Rfam family: Bacterial small subunit ribosomal RNA
Source: RNAcentral